Hippocampus zosterae (dwarf seahorse) is the source of this 2353-nucleotide long non-coding RNA. RefSeq lists it as uncharacterized. Lineage: Eukaryota; Metazoa; Chordata; Actinopteri; Syngnathiformes; Syngnathidae. The transcript has 8 exons. The record is from RefSeq and is a predicted model, not a curated record.
AUUCUUGCUGCUGAGGAGCCAUAUUUUUGUUUUCUGUUUCUAUAGUCGGAGAGCUGCUUUAUUUUAUAAAGUAAAUAAUGCAAAUUAUUGUGAAAGGCACACCGGAUGUUGUUGCGUGAGACACUUUUUGUUUUACGUUCUUCGGAGAAGUCUCAUGUUCCAAGCCAAGCACAGCCCGUAUCUUUUUAUCUUGUAACUGUAUGCAAUAGUAUUAAUUCGUGGGGGUUGUUCACCGUGAAUUUAUAUUCAAAAGACGUUACAAUUGUUUACUAUUAGCAUUUACGAGAGCGAUUAGCGUAUUAGCUCGCGAACGUUAGCAAUCGACGGGACUUUCCUCGAAAGAGCGAACAUUGAGCAAGGUUCCAAAGUGGUAGUUGGUUUUGGGAGGAGUGACUGAAUACCCAAAAGUCAAGCCUAUAAAAUGCAAUCAUGGGAUACUCGCUAUUUUUGCGGCGGCUCUUUCCCCUGAAGGAGACUAUGGUCCAAAAUAUUGGGUAUUGUAUGCAAUACGCGAAAACACAAACGCUGAAUGUAUGCAUGUCCCAAAAUAACCUUAUUUAAAUUAGAUGAUAAUCUUUGAAAUGCAUAUACCCCGUGAUAGGAAUUCUUGGUGGACAUGACCUCAUAUUGACUGUACUGGAACGGAGAUGACCCUCAAAGCUAAGAACAAACAAACAGCAGACUUAUAAGAUAAGAUAAGAUAUCCUUUAUUUGUCCCACACUGGGGAAAUGUACAGCCUCCAGCAGCAAGAAUGUGGGUAGAAAGAAGAAAAAACAACUAUCUCUCCAAGUUCACUUUGGCGUCCUGUCCCUCCUCCCCUUUUGCGGUGUUCAGCGGGGCCAGAACAAUGUAUCCAAAGUGAAGUUCUCCCAGCAGGUGGAGGUUCAAACAGGUCCCAGACCAGAGGCACCUCGGGAGGGAUCAGAUGACUGCAGCCUAAGGGCCUGGCCCAAAUUUGACCCGUACAUAAAAAACAGGCCUGUUCCACACUCUUGGUGCUCUCACUGGGCUAAAACAACACCAGGCCAAAGUGUGCGUCACGAAGGAGGACACAUCCGGGUGUCGGGCGCACCUGAAGAUAAUGACCCCAACUUAGAGACGAGAGCGGAGCUGCUGAAGAUCUUAACGGCCGUGGAUGGCCUCCAGCUGCUAAACCCGGCCCCCCGGCCCCCCGGCCCACCGGCCCGGUGACUGAUGAGCCCGACUUGACCCCUUCUCUCGGCUAAAGGGAAGCACGUUGAAAUCAUCUCAGAGCGGCGGCAGCUUCACAGCGUUGGACAACCAUCCGUGGCCGCUGAGCUAACAGGCCUGCCUUGGGAGAUUUCCAUUAUCGGGGGGGGGGGGAAUAUUCACUGGAAUCUUUCAACCUUGUCAGACGACGGCGUGCACUCCCACAGGACGCCGGGCUUUAACUCAGAGGGACAUUAAUGUAAAGGCAACCUGCAAAAAGAUCACAAUUGCAGCAGAGACCCACGGUUGGUCGUUUGGACAGUUCGUGAGCCAACGGGGACAUUGGCGCUCCGGCUGGGAAGGUAAUGACAUCAGAUGCCGCGCUACACAACAACAGGUGCUUUGGCAGCGCCACCUUGGAGCUCCUCGCUGCGUCAAUGACAUCAGCGCCGAUCUGCCGGUUAAUUAUAGCUCGCCCGUGCCUUUUCUUGUCGCCAAUCAGACGCGAGACGUGUUUUUGGGCAGGGGAUCAGACAAAGGUUGGUAACUUUUCACACGUUCAAGGGAAAUCUGCGGCAACUGUCGCUACUAUGAUGAUAUAUCCUAAACGGUCUUUUGUACAUCAAUUCAAUGAAAAAACAAACCGCAUCUGGAAUAACAAUGACGACGCACUACUCACAAAACUUUUUUUUUAUUUUAGGCUAAAAUGCAGGUGAACUUCCAAUGACCUCAUGAUGAACAUUUCCAAGGAUGUCCAAUUCUAUACCUUUCUCAGCGAGGCUUGUCGGGCGAGCUCCAGCGCUCUCAACUCAAAGGUCCCCGAAGAACGCCGUUGCUUACAAAAGCUUGUCGCCUCAGCAUGACGGUGUUUUUCCACAAAGGAGUUUUACGGCGUGCCAGCAUGCCAUCGUGUCCGCCCGAGAGGGGGGCUGGAGGGGUCCUCAUUAUGCGGCCGAGGCGACAAGCUCGUUAGGAGUGCACGAAAGAUUACAACAUGCGGCUAAAGAGCACGGCGCAAACACAAACAGACACACGGACGGAUUGUAAAACAGAUGGGAGCGCAGAAGGCCGGCGUUGUACUGCUUUGUUUUGAUCUCACUGAUGAAGAACAUCAGUGUCGGUGCUCUUCGCGGCCAUUCCAGGUGAUGAAAUGCUCCCUUGAUGGUGCGCAGACCUGUUUUU